AAACACGAUGUGGUCACACUGUACCGUAGGCCAACGGUUAUCAUUCAAUUCAUUUGAAAUGUAUUGAUUGUCAUAUAAAAUUUGUUUAAUUUUAAUGAAAAUUUAGCAAAUUAUGGGUUAAUUUAGAAAAAAUUGUUCAUCAAUUUUGUUGAAUAUUGUGUUAUUUUACUAGUAAAGUAUCCCAGUGGAGUGUUGUGCGUCUGUUGUGAACGUAAAUUACACUGAAAAUAUGAAAGAACCAGUGAUUGAUUUUUGGAUGAUAAACGUUUCACAUUACUGAAUAAAAUUUCGCGAAUUAUGAUUUAAUUUUUAAAAAAUGGCUUCAUAUUCACACUACAUCGUGUUAUUUAACUCGUGAAUUGUGUCACUCAAGUGCUGUGGGUUUGUUUUCGAGAUAAUUAUGCUGACAGAAAAUACCAAUGAUCUGAUUUCUACCUCCGGAGCUUUGAAUAUCUAUCUAAAUUCAAAUGGUUGAAUUUCCUACAGAGAAUGAUGAAAACAUAGACCAAAUGGAAUAUAAUAUCCAAGUGAAUAAUCAUCAUUUCUUAUGAAUUUAUGAUCCGAAGAUAUGAAAUUGUAGCUCACAUUUGAUGAAGUAUUCAAGAUGUUGAUUCUGAUGGAUGUUUUUAUAACUUACAAAUGCAAUGGAUUACACAGGAAGAUGAGUUCGAAAAUAUUUAUCGAGUAUGUUUACCAAAUAUUCUGUAUAUUUUUAAGCUGUGAAUAGUUUUUUAGUUUUAUAUCACGAAAGAUAUGUUUGUUUUUUCACAUCAGUGAUCUUGUUUUUAGAUCUUGAUGAUUAUACCAGUAUGUUACCCACUGAAAUACUCCGUUCUGUGAUAUUUAGGAUACUUUUUAAAUAUUUUUAAUGUCUAGUGUACAAAAAAUUAUGGUAAUCGAAAUAAAAUCAUAAUUUUAGUGGUAUUUUCAUUUAAAA
Long non-coding RNA from Planococcus citri (citrus mealybug), 937 nucleotides. RefSeq lists it as uncharacterized. The transcript is spliced from 2 exons. NCBI's taxonomy places the organism in Eukaryota, Metazoa, Arthropoda, Insecta, Hemiptera, Pseudococcidae. The record is from RefSeq and is a predicted model, not a curated record.